CGCGGCCUAUCAGCUUGUUGGAGGGGUAAUGGCUCACCAAGGCAUCGACGGGUAGCUGGUCUGAGAGGAUGAUCAGCCACACUGGAACUGAGACGCGGUCCAGACUCCUACGGGAGGCAGCAGUGGGGAAUCUUGCACAAUGGGCGAAAGCCUGAUGCAGCAACGCCGCGUGCGGGAAGAAGGCCUUAGGGUUGUAAACCGCUUUCAGUAGGGAAGAAAAUGACGGUACCUACAGAAGAAGGUGCGGCCAACUACGUGCCAGCAGCCGCGGUAACACGUAGGCACCAGGCGUUAUCCGGAUUUAUUGGGCGUAAAGAGCUCGUAGGCGGUUCAGUCAGUCGGGUGUGAAAACUUGAGGCUUAACCUCAAGAGGUCACUCGAUACUGCUGUGACUAGAGUGCGGUAGGGGAGCGGGGAAUUCCUGGUGUAGCGGUGAAAUGCGCAGAUAUCAGGAGGAACACCAGUGGCGAAGGCGCCGCUCUGGGCCGUAACUGACGCUGAGGAGCGAAAGCAUGGGUAGCAAACAGGAUUAGAUACCCUGGUAGUCCAUGCCGUAAACGUUGGGCACUAGGUGUGGGUCUCAACCAACGAGAUCCGCGCCGUCGCUAACGCAUUAAGUGCCCCGCCUGGGGAGUACGG
RNAcentral lists this ribosomal RNA (639 nucleotides) under uncultured Actinomycetes bacterium. RNAcentral's name for it is "bacterial SSU rRNA". It matches the Rfam family "Bacterial small subunit ribosomal RNA", at positions 232 to 885 of the family's 1533-position model. The record is from RNAcentral. Lineage: Bacteria; Bacillati; Actinomycetota; Actinomycetes.